RNAcentral lists this ribosomal RNA (115 nucleotides) under Pteropus alecto (black flying fox). Lineage: Eukaryota; Metazoa; Chordata; Mammalia; Chiroptera; Pteropodidae. The record is from RNAcentral.
GUCUACUGCCAUGCCGCCCCAAACCGCGGAUCUCAUCUGAUCUUGGAAGUAAUCAGGGUCGAACCUGGUUAGUAUUUAGAUGGGAGACCACCUAUGAAAACAGGUGCUGUAGGCU